RNAcentral lists this long non-coding RNA (533 nucleotides) under Brassica napus (rape). Its description in RNAcentral is "long non-coding RNA (BNAP_LNC009750)". The record is from RNAcentral. Lineage: Eukaryota; Viridiplantae; Streptophyta; Magnoliopsida; Brassicales; Brassicaceae.
CGAGAAAAAAACUAAAAAAUCUAAACUAAUACACACAACCUUAAAUAUAUCAUUUAAACCUAAAUCAUAAACACAAAACUCAAACCCCAAACUCAAAUACAAAAGUACUAUAAUAUAACUAAAAACUAAGAUCUACUCUUUAUGAAAACUAAUAAAUGUAUUAAUCUAUUUUCGAAUAUUAAUCUAUUUUUUCGAAUAUUAAUCUCAAACCUUAGGCUUCCAAAUCUCAAACCUUAAUUAUAAAGUUUAACCCUUAUAAACUUUAUAUAGAGAAGUUAACUCUAGUCAUUUUAAUUAUAAAUCCAACUAUUUAUUUUUGAAAACCUUAACCAUAAACUUUAAUCUUAAACCCCAUUUUAAUCAUAAAUUUAUUUCAUGAUUGGAGGUUAUUCCGCUCUUGUCCAUCUCUUUGAUAGUAAUCAAUAAACAUCAUUAGCCAGAAAAAUAUUAGCAAUCCCCCUCCCCUCUCCCCCAAACCCUAUGUAUACCCUAAACUCAAAACCCAAUUAUCAAAACCCAAAACCAUAUUCCCA